Pteropus alecto (black flying fox) is the source of this 109-nucleotide non-coding RNA. NCBI's taxonomy places the organism in Eukaryota, Metazoa, Chordata, Mammalia, Chiroptera, Pteropodidae. The record is from Rfam.
UUAAAUGUUAAAACCAAAAUGAACAUUUUUAAAAUAAAAUGUUAAGCAGGGUCGGGCCUGGUUAGUACUUGGAUGGGAGACCACCUGGGAAAACCAGGUGCUGUAGGCG